GAUGAACGCUGGCGGCGUGCCUAAUACAUGCAAGUCGAGCGAAUAUACUAGGAGCUUGCUCCUCUGACGUUAGCGGCGGACGGUUGAGUAACACUUGGUUAACCUACCUUUAAGACUGGGUUAACUUCGGGAAACCGGAGCUAAUACCGGAUAAUAUAUUGAACUUCAUGUUUCCAUAUUGAAAGACGGUUUUGCUGUCACUUAUAUAUGUAUCCGCGCCGCAUUAGCUAGUUGGUAAGGUAACGGCUUACCAAGGCGACGAUGCGUAGCCGACCUGAGAGGGUGAUCGGCCACACUGGAACUGAGACACGGUCAAGACUCCUACGGGAGGAAGCAGAAGGGAAUCUUCCGCAAUGGGCGAAAGCCUGACGGAGAAACGCCGCGUGAGGGAUGAAGGUCUUCGGAUCGUAAAACUCUGUUAUUAGGGAGGAACAAAUGUGUAAGUAAAUAUGCACGUCUUGACGGUACCUAAUCAGAAAGCCACGGCUAACUACGUG
RNAcentral lists this ribosomal RNA (497 nucleotides) under uncultured bacterium. RNAcentral's name for it is "partial 16S ribosomal RNA". It matches the Rfam family "Bacterial small subunit ribosomal RNA", at positions 28 to 507 of the family's 1533-position model. The record is from RNAcentral.